CCUACGGGUGGCAGCAGUAGGGAAUUUUCGUCAAUGGGGGGAACCCUGACCGAGCAACGCCGCGUGAACGAAGAAGGUAUUCGGAAUGUAAAGUUCUUUUGACAGGGAAGAAAGAGAAAUUUUACGGUACCUGAGGAAUAAGCUCCGGCAAACUACGUGCCAGCAGCGGCGGUAAUACGUAGGGAGCGAUCGUUAUCCGGAAUUGUUGGGGGAAAGGGGUGCGUAGAUGGCAUAGUAAGUCUUUUGGAAAAACGCUGGGCUCAACCCAGUAGGGCAAGAGAUACUGCAAAGCUAGAGUAUGACAGAGGCAAGUGGAACUACAUGUGUAGCGGUAAAAUGCGUAAAUAUAUGUAAGAACACUAGUGGCGAAGGCGGCUUGCUGGGUCGAUACUGACAUUGAGGCACGAAAGCGUGGGGAGCAAACAGGAUUAGAUACCCGUGUAGUC
RNAcentral lists this ribosomal RNA (446 nucleotides) under uncultured bacterium. RNAcentral's name for it is "partial 16S ribosomal RNA". It matches the Rfam family "Bacterial small subunit ribosomal RNA", at positions 338 to 795 of the family's 1533-position model. The record is from RNAcentral.